CGCUGGCGGCGUGCCUAACACAUGCAAGUCGAACGGGGUCGGCCCCUUCGGGGACUGACUUAGUGGCGAACGGGUGAGUAACGCGUGAAGAACCUGCCUUUCAGUGGGGGGACAACAGUUGGAAACGACUGCUAAUACCGCAUAAUGUAUUCGGACGGCAUCGUCUGGAUACCAAAGCUUUAUGUGCUGAAAGAUGGCUUCGCGUCUGAUUAGCUAGAUGGCGGGGUAACGGCCCACCAUGGCGACGAUCAGUAGCCGGUCUGAGAGGAUGAACGGCCACAUUGGGACUGAGACACGGCCCAGACUCCUACGGGAGGCAGCAGUGGGGAAUAUUGCGCAAUGGGGGCAACCCUGACGCAGCAACGCCGCGUGAAGGAUGAAGGUCUUCGGAUUGUAAACUUCUGUUUUAAGGGACGAAAAUGACGGUACCUUAAGAGGAAGCCACGGCUAACUACGUG
Molecule: ribosomal RNA, 458 nt
Filed under: uncultured bacterium
Lineage: Bacteria
Description: bacterial SSU rRNA
Rfam family: Bacterial small subunit ribosomal RNA
Source: RNAcentral